RNAcentral lists this unclassified non-coding RNA (1087 nucleotides) under Hevea brasiliensis (rubber tree). The record is from RNAcentral. Lineage: Eukaryota; Viridiplantae; Streptophyta; Magnoliopsida; Malpighiales; Euphorbiaceae.
GUGGUCUAGGCACUGGAAGUCCCUACAAACAUUAACAUUUCUUAUUCUUUUUCACCAAGAUUCUAAAAAAUAAAGCAACCCCCAGGAAAAAAAAAAAAAAAAAUACAAGUAUUAACACAAAUUGCAUUUAUUUAGGUUGUGGUUGUGGGAUACAAUUUUUAACAUAUGAAAGAGGUCAGCAAUUGCACAGCAAUAGAAAUAUCUCUCAAGAUAAACACCCCCCCGUCUCACAAUACAUUAUAAAAACUCUAAGCAUACCAAUGACUGUCCACACAAUCAUAACACCACAACACUUUAUUCAAUUACGUAAUGAAAUAAAGACAACAUACUAAAAAUAAAUCUCUUCAAACUUCCUCGUCCUUUUCAUCCUCACUCCAACAACAUCUCAGGAUUGACCUUGGAGAUGCACAGCCUUUGUUUCUCACAUAACUUUGGUAGAUGAUCGAUCCCCCCUUACCAAGUUCUUCAUUGUUACUUCCAACACAGCAAUAUCCGUUCAAAUCAAGAAUUAACUUCUUUCCCACAUCAUGUAAAACAUCAGAAUGCAGAGCAAUGGAGAACUCAGUUGGUUCAAAGCAAGCCAAAACCCUUUCAAGCAGCUGAGUCAAAUUCAUAUCUUCUAAAUUGUAACCCACAGCUUCAAAACUAGCAUAACUGAAACCAUCUUCUGGAGUGAUGUGAAUUGUAGAGAUUGCAUCCCCUUCAAUGGCAUUCAUGGAGUAACCACAUGGGUCAAAAUCAAAAUCACAGAUAUCAGAUUGUGGGAGGAUCUUCCUAAUACCAGAUUCCUCAGUCAUCACAGCAGCUGAAAUGGAUUUUCUUUUGUAGAAUACAGAUGCUCGGUCCCUGUCCAAGCCAGUCAUGCACAUUUCCAGAGUGUGAACACGACCUAAGUUGCAUCCCACAUCAACAGAAGCAGAGUAUACAUGCCAUCUUUGGGAUUUUUCAGGACUACCCAUCACAUAUGCCACACUAUCCAAACCGAGUUUAACAAAAUGGCCAUCAAGGACAGCUACUUCCUCAGAGAAGCUUCUAUGUGGAAAUGACUGAGCCCCAGGAAAUAUGAAGCUCCCACGAGUAUACCUCA